This 156-nucleotide small RNA is filed under the name uncultured Parabacteroides sp. RNAcentral's name for it is "RT-3 RNA". It matches the Rfam family "RT-3 RNA". Lineage: Bacteria; Pseudomonadati; Bacteroidota; Bacteroidia; Bacteroidales; Tannerellaceae. The record is from RNAcentral.
AAUCGGCGUACAGCACCGGGGACGUGUCCCCAAGGCGGAGCCGAGGGAGGCAAGCCACAGCAACAGCGCAGGGCCGCAGGGCCUGUAAGCCGGAAAGCUGAAAAAACACGUGUCGGGUGGAGUUUGGUAGGCCGCAAGGCUCGAAGAAGUCAGGCC